AUAUAAAUGCAGUAUUUGAGUCAAUAUAAUCACAUAUUUGCAUGUAUUUACAGUUUUUUGAACUUGAUGUGCCGUAUAUUUGCUAUGGUCUGUGGGACACCUGUGAAUAAUCUCUGAAGGAAAACGCUCUUCUGUAACAUGUGCUGAACCUGUGAGUGGGACAGGACUCUCAAUUACAUUGUCCAUAGUAGAAAAUGAACUGGUCUUCUUUGGAGAUGAGCUCCAUUUCCAGAAGGAGAAGCUCUGGCUUCCCCAUCGUCUCCAACUCCUUCAGCAUCGAUUGUUCCAACAGCGUUAACCUGCUCCAAAGUUUGUCCCACCAUUGGCUGGCCAGUGGCCAAUCAGUUACUCUCAAUGGCAUGGACCAAGAUUGGGCUGUGGGCCCUGAACUGUGAUGUCACAGAACCUGGAACCUGCACCCAUUACUGACUAGGACAAGGAGCAGAGGCAGAGAGAAAGAGGACCCACCCUGAGAAGGAAGAGUCCAGGUGGGAUCUGAGACAGGGAGACCCUUUAUAUGUCGCCGCCUUGAUGUGUGGCUCUUUUGCCACUUUGAGCUCCAGGAUCACCCCCAGAUGAACUGCUAUCACUUUUUUUUUUUUUUUUCUGAGACGGAGUCUUGUUACCCAGGCUGGAGUGCAAUGGCACGAUCUCGGCUCACCGCAACCUCCGCCUCCUGGGUUCAGGCAAUUCUCCUGCCUCAGCCUCCUGAGUAGCUGGGAUUACAUGCCACCAGGCCCAGCUAAUUUUUUUUUUUUUUUUUUUUUUAGUAGAGACGGGGUUUCACCAUGUUGACCAGGAUGGUCUCGAUCUCUUGACCUCGUGAUCCACCCGCCUUGGCCUCCCAAAGUGCUGGGAUUACAGGCUUGCGUAUCACUUUCAAAUAACCUUAUCUUUCCUCCUGCCUUCCAAACCAAUUAUCUCGCCCUUCUGACACAAGAGGACUUUACCUGGAAGACCACCGCACACCUUCUGGUAACACUGGGACCCUGGGCUCCUACAGAAAUUUUUCUAUCACCUGAUCACAAAUGCUGAAUGAGAAACACCAGCUCUUGGACUCAAAACUGCUCAGAUCAGGAAAUAAUCAUCCUCAGUCUUCAGGAAGAAGGUGAAAUAUUGCAUGUUCUCACUCAUAUGCUGGAGCAAAAAAAUGAGAGUGGCUUCAGCUUAGACACAGGAUAAGAAAAUGGGAGGGCCUCCAGCUUGGGAACCUCAGCCCGUCUGGCUCCUGCCUUCCUCCUUCAGCCCUAGAACCAAGGAGAAGGUAAUUGAAGUGAUUUCUGGCUUUCCACUAUACUCCCUGAAGGCCAAGGAAAGGGAAAUGGUCUUGUGUGCUGACUUUGAAUAUUCACAAGGACAUCAUCAAAUAGAUGUUGCUACUUUCCCCAGUGAACACAUGCAGAGGUGACCGUGACCUGUGAUUUUAGAGCUGGGAAGAGACCUUGGGUUUUCAUUCAGGAGAAGUCCAAGGAAAUGAGGGGUCUGCUGUUGUGGCUGACAAGGAAACAUCAGGAGAAGCUUAACCUAAAUUUUCUGCCACACAGAAGACUUUUGCGACCAGCAGAAACGAGGGCAUGAGAGUUACUCUUCUUCUUGGUUGUCAUCUCAUCUCUGCCUUUCAGUGGUGUGGCCUUGGUCAAGUUCAUGGACAGCCUCCAACACAGGGUGUGCAGCAAAGAAAGAGCAGCUGGGCUGAAACUGUCAUCUGUAGAAAGGCCUGUUGACAAGGUUGGCCCUUUUUCGCCUGGGAACUUGUCUCUCAAUGGCAAUAGUUCAUUGAUAAGAUGGCACAUUGUUCCUAAACUGUUUGGCAAAUGAUGUCAUUUAUGUGAACACCUGCUUUUCCUCUGGGGAGUCUGAAAUUUGGGAACUUCUCAAAAGAAAGAAGCAGGUGUUCACAUAAGCCAUACCCUCUGCUAGACAGAGGGUGUCUACAUGACCAGCCCACAGUAAAACUCUUGGGCACUGAGUGUUUAAUGGAUUUCCCUUUGUUGAAACACAGUAUAACUUUCAGCAUUUCUGCUGUUGGGGGAAGGGUGUGCUUUGUGUGGCCUUCGUGGGAGAAAGAUUACGAGAAUCCUGCAAGUGGAUCCUACCAACUGCAGCAGCAUCUUGUCCCCUUGGGUCCGAUUGAGUAUCUGACCAAUUGCAGUAAUAAAACUUAACUGUAUAAACAAUAUGUGUAGAGCCCUGUGACUCUUUCUAGGGAAAUCUCUGAACAGCCAGGUGGUCCAAGGAACCCCAGAAACUCCUGGGCUUGUUACUAUUACACUGAACUUCACUGUGGCCAACUCUCUUACAGGUCAAGAAAAAAGGCUCAAUAAAACACUUUUGUCAUUGAGCUAAAUUUUCAUUUUGGGGCUGUGGGUUAUACUUUCAAAUUAGGCCCAAAUUCAUUGAAGGACAUAACUUUUUUUUUAAUAUGAAAAGACUUCCAAUAUCCUGGUCCUGUCCAGGACAUUCCAUUAAAGGAGUACAUUCCUCUAGGAGAACUUUAUUAGGAUUGUUAUAGCUAAAUCUGGUAUAAUAUCAUUUGCAGCAGACUUAAGAAUCUUGGAGUACAAGACUUUCGGAUUUUAAGGACCGUGCAGUAUUCGAGGACGAGUGUCACUCCCAAUUACGGAGCGGUCACAGUGUUCUUGGCCCUAUGCUCAGCAUUUUACAAGCUUCACCUCACUUAAUUCUGAUGACAAUCCAAGGGAGAAGGUUUUCUCAUCAUACCCAUUUUACAUAGAAGGGAACUGAGAUCAUUUAAAUAGCUAGAGGCUAAGUAAUGUUCUCGAGCCCAUGCAGCUAUGAAGUGUCAGAGCUGGUAUCCAACCUGACUUCAUCUGACACCAGAUCCUGAGACCGCCACAUCCUGCCUUCCAGAAGAUACUGUUUCAUACUUUCAGGGAAAUUGUUGAAAACCAGAGACAAAAACACACUCCUUGAAAGGUUUGUGGAAAAUCACAUCUAUUCCUAAACUAUGAAGUUCCACAAUUUCUCAAAAGUGUUCUCCCUAUUCGGUCUUGUUUUUAGUGUGCCAAUUCUAAAUACAAACCCAUGUCUCCCCCACAGGGGCAGGGAGCUCUUUCUUUCUCACUUGUCAUCUGGGUCAACAAAGGCAGUCAGUGCAGGUUGAAUAUCCUUAAUCCAAAAACCCUAAAUCCCAAAUUCUCCAAAAUCUGGAACUUUUUCAGCACUGAGGAAAUGUUCCCUAAAGGGCUCUGGAUUUCAGAUUUUCAGAUUAGCGAUGUUCAGUCAUAAGUAUCAUACAAAUAUUCACAAACUGAACAAAUCAGAAAUCUGAAAUGCUUCCAGUCCCAAGCAUUUUGGAUAAGACGUACUCAACUGUAUCUGCCCUACUGAGAUCUGUUACCAUGUGGGAGGUGAGGAUGCAUCACUUAUUCCAACCCUUUGAAACAGAGAUAUCGCCUGCCUGCAACCUUUGCCUAU
This is a long non-coding RNA of Callithrix jacchus (white-tufted-ear marmoset), 3438 nucleotides long. RefSeq lists it as uncharacterized. The record is from RefSeq and is a predicted model, not a curated record. Lineage: Eukaryota; Metazoa; Chordata; Mammalia; Primates; Cebidae.